RNAcentral lists this ribosomal RNA (494 nucleotides) under uncultured bacterium. RNAcentral describes it as "partial 16S ribosomal RNA". It matches the Rfam family "Bacterial small subunit ribosomal RNA", at positions 28 to 507 of the family's 1533-position model. The record is from RNAcentral.
GACGAACGCUGGCGGCGCGCUUAACACAUGCAAGUCGAACGGAAAGGCCUGCUUUCCCUUGUGGAUUGCGGGUACUCGAGUGGCGAACGGGUGAGUAACACGUGAGUGAUCUGCCCCCAACUUGGGUAUAAGCCUGGGAAACUGGGUCUAAUUCCCGAUAGGACUGCAGGGUGGUGCCUGUGGUGGAAAACGAUUUUCUAGUGGUUGGGGAUGAGCUCGCGGCCUAUCAGCUUGUUGGUGGGGUAAUGGCCUACCAAGGCGGCGACGGGUAGCCGGCCUGAGAGGGUGGACGGCCACAUUGGGACGGAGAUACGGCCCAGACUCCUACGGGAGGCAGCAGUGGGGAAUAUGACACAAUGGGCGGAAGCCUGAUGCAGCGACGCCGCGUGGGGGAUGACGGCCUUCGGGUUGUAAACUCCUUUCGACCGCGAGGAAGCCACCUGGUUGGAAGGGUGGUGACGGUAGUGGUAGAAGAAGCACCGGCUAACUACGUG